AUUUUCCGCAAUGGGCGAAAGCCUGACGGAGCAACGCCGCGUGGGUGAUGAAGAUUUUCGGAUCGUAAAGCCCUUUCAGCAGGGACGAACACAAUGACGGUACCGGAACAAGAAGCACCGGCUAACUACGUGCCAGCAGCCGCGGUAAUACGUAGGGUGCGAGCGUUAAUCGGAAUUACUGGGCGUAAAGCGUGCGCAGGCGGUUUGUUAAGCCAGAUGUGAAAGCCCCGGGCUCAACCUGGGAACUGCGUUUGGUACUGGCAAGCUAGAGUACGGCAGAGGGGGGUGGAAUUCCACGUGUAGCAGUGAAAUGCGUAGAGAUGUGGAGGAACACCGAUGGCGAAGGCAGCCCCCUGGGCCGAUACUGACGCUCAGGCACGAAAGCGUGGGGAGCAAACAGG
RNAcentral lists this ribosomal RNA (401 nucleotides) under uncultured bacterium. Its description in RNAcentral is "bacterial SSU rRNA". It matches the Rfam family "Bacterial small subunit ribosomal RNA", at positions 361 to 776 of the family's 1533-position model. The record is from RNAcentral.